RNAcentral lists this transfer RNA (71 nucleotides) under Candidatus Hodgkinia cicadicola Dsem. RNAcentral describes it as "tRNA-Glu (TTC) (tRNA-Glu-TTC-1-1)". It matches the Rfam family "tRNA". Rfam says of the family: Transfer RNA (tRNA) molecules are approximately 80 nucleotides in length. Their secondary structure includes four short double-helical elements and three loops (D, anti-codon, and T loops). Further hydrogen bonds mediate the characteristic L-shaped molecular structure. tRNAs have two regions of fundamental functional importance: the anti-codon, which is responsible for specific mRNA codon recognition, and the 3' end, to which the tRNAs corresponding amino acid is attached (by aminoacyl-tRNA synthetases). tRNAs cope with the degeneracy of the genetic code in two manners: having more than one tRNA (with a specific anti-codon) for a particular amino acid; and 'wobble' base-pairing, i.e. permitting non-standard base-pairing at the 3rd anti-codon position. Lineage: Bacteria; Pseudomonadati; Pseudomonadota; Alphaproteobacteria; Hyphomicrobiales. The record is from RNAcentral.
GCACGCAUGGUCCAACGGCAAGACGUUGCCUUUUCACGGCAGAAGCAUGGGUUCGACUCCCAUUGAGUGCG